GAGGAUAUGUAAUAAAAAUGCACGGGGCAGUUUCCUUUUUAUUUCCUAAAUUACCUAAUCUUUAAUUCCCACCUAUAAUCAGUUGUUCACAGAUGAAGAAGGCUGAGACAUUGCUCCUGAGCGCUCUCUCAGCCCCUGGGCUCAAAGGCAGAUGCCUCUGUUUCACUGCCUGAUCCACCCCAUCAUUUAAUCCUUCAUCAUGUGAAUUACAUCAUUAGUCAACAAGCCUUCACUGAUCGUCCGCUCUCUGGGAAGCGAACACAGCGAAUGCGCUGCUUGGCUGCAUCCACGUGUUUGUGGCGAAGUUCUCCCCGAGGACGGCCGUGAUUCGAGAGGAAAGGUGUUCCUGGAUCAGUGCAGACCGAGUUUCGAAGGGUCCCUAACUCGCUGGCCGGGGCUCCUGAUGGAUUUGCCGUCUUGGAGACAGCUGAUCUGGUGCCUCUCCAUCCUUCCCUUCUUUUCACCGGCUUUCCUGUCUCCAUGGUUACCAGGAUUCCAAUGUUACCACGGUGUAUCCUGAACAGGAAGCCGUCGUCCAGUCUCUCCUGGGAAUGUACGGAUGGUGUCCCUCUCUCUCCCUCGUCUAUUCCUCCCAAGUGUCUGUAUUUCAUUGAUUCUCUGAUGCCCACUGUUUGUAUUUGCACAUUUCGGAGACUGGUCUACAUUUAAAAUCAGUGGUGGAUCCUAAUUUGUUAGGUUUCUUUCUGUCUUAGUGGCACGCCAAGUCAUGGUACUACUGACUAUAGUUUAGAUUUGCUGGAAUAUUCCAACUGGGGCCUUGAGCGAUCCUGAACCAGUGGGAGUGGUUUUAACAACCCCCUUCCCAGUGCGGUGAGGACAGAGGCAUCUUGUUAAAAAAAGGUGCUUUCCUGUCACUUCUGGAACCUUCCAGGUGCUGUCUUUUACUCUACAUCAGACCCACCUGACUCUGUUUUGGCAGCUGUGGCUUUUGUCUUUCUGCUCCUGCCUGGUGUCUGUUUCCUGCCUGGGUUUCCCUUUCCUUCCGUGGGGCUGUCUGUACCCCCAAAUCCUGCCUUUGCCUCUAGGCUCCAUCCCCUGCUUUGUCCUGGCUCCGUGUUCUGCAGUCCGGGGACACUCUCGCCGGUGGGUGCCCAGCCGAGUCUCGUGGUCCUGCUGGAGCAGAGACAGAGCCUGCCCACCUGCUGGGGAGAGAUGAUCUGAAGAGGAACUCAGACUCUGGUUUUGAUGUUUGCAACUUCAGCAUGUUGCACAGCUACUGGCACAUAAUGAGACUUGCAAAAUGCUUGUGAUAAAUCCAUGAGCCAACCGCUGCAUUAUUUUCGUCUCGGUGACGUACGGGUGCAGAAAUCUACUUGUUGUGUAUUUUUUCCACAAUGAGAAGGCAGAGUGCAGAGCUGUUCCCUAGCAGGGCUGGGGCCUCUGGUCUCGAGCCUUUGUUGACCUUUUCAUUUAGAGGAGGUGGUGGUGGUUUUUUUUUCUGCUCUCCCCCACCCCCAGGCUGGGACCGGUUAGCUCUGCUGGGGCCGAGUGAGGUGGGGCAGCUAUGUCUUGUCUUCCCUCUCUGCACAGCCUCACACCUGGCUGGCCUUGACAUUCUCAGUUUCCCUGGGGCAGGUCCAAGUUUGCGGCUGAGCCCGAGCUGCGGCGAGGUGCAUCUCCACGGCCUUUGCCUUCCAGUUCAGUCCUGAAGAGGCUGUUUGCAUCCGCCAAACAUCUAGGAUUCAGUCCUGCUCCCUCCUCUGGCUUUGACCUCACUCUUCUGUAAAGGCUGGCUCUUAACCUGGUUAAUGUCCUCACUAAGGGCAGCUCUCCAUCUGUGAGGACAACGGAGCUUCCCUGUGAAUCGAGCACUUUCUUAACACACUGGAGGGCCAGGGACAUUAGGAGACAAGGUCCCUGCCUUCUCGAAGCUUCCCUCCCACUCAGCAACAUACUGAAAAGAAGAGCUAGCCAUGCAGUAGCUCCUAUCAGACUGGUUUGUUCACACGACUAUCGUGAUUUUUCAGGACUCUUCAUUCUAAUCUAGAUCUUGAUGUCCUAGUUCAGAUUUCUUCUAGAAAGCAGGUCUGGUCCUUCUUUUCCUUAGUUAGGGGCUGUGGAGGUGGGUGGUUUUUCCCUAAGAUGGGCACCAUGAGGUGUUUUGCAGUGAUGCGUUAUCUGGACUCCUAUGAGCUCAUGUUAAAAUAUUCAGGCAUGUUCAGGCAAGCUCAGGAAUAACGAACUCGACUAGUAUGCACGAGGACACAGGUUCGAUCCCUGGCCUCGCUCAGUGGGUUAAGGAUCUGGCAUUACUGUGAGCUGUGGUAUAGGCCACAGAUGUGGCUUGAAUCCUGAGUUGCUUUGGCUGUGGCAGAGGCUGGCAGCUGUAGCUCUGAUUUGACCCCUAGACGUGCUGGCGGCAGCAGCAUGAGGCCCUCCCGAGGUGGGUGAUGCUGCGGUUCCCGUGCCGACUGUCUGCUUGGCUCCAUGCUUACCUCCGGCAGAACCACCUGCUGGGUUUCAGGUUUGAGGGCAGCAGGUGGUAGAGGCUUUAACUUCCAUGCCUCCAUUUCACCAUCUGAAAAAUGGACGUAACGGCACCGCCUUCUGGGAUCCAGUGCAGUUCUGGGCACACAGCUUCGGGCAGCUCAUAAAAGUCACCAUUCGCAUCUGCACAUAACCCUCCUAGGGUGCGAGUUGGGGGCAGCAGUGAGUGAGAAGGAUAGAUGCGCACUGUACAGACGAGCUUGUUCAACAGGCCGUGAGGACUCUGGAGGGAUUUCGGUCUGCGGGGAUCUGCUUUUGGAAUCCUGGAGACGGGGGCGGGGGGCGGGGGGGGCAGGAGAUCUGGCCACUCGGGCCGUCCUCACAGGGCCCCGGUGCACUGUCCUGCUUGGACUUUGUUGCUUUCCAUCUUUUCUGGAACAUUCCGGCCAGCGCACAGCUUAGGGAGCGGGUGAUGAAAGAUUAGGGCUCCCAUUACCCGGGCUGAUGGAGUGGUAUCUAGUAAGCGGGACAGGGAGAGCCAGAAGCCUGGUUCUCAUCCUCCCUGCUGGUCAAUUACCUGACUGGCUACGGUCAGUCGGCAUGAGUGACAAGGGGCACAUUUUUCUAACUGGCUCCCGCAGGGCCUCGCCAUCAGCUGAGAAGCAAGCCUCUGCCGUGAGGUGGGGCUCUGGGCUAGCCACGCGGAACAGGAGAUACUUAUUGGAGCGGCUUCUUAUCUCUGGUGUGCCUUCCUCCAGGGUGACCUGUAGUCAUUCCGGGAAUCCUUACUUUGCUAAGUCCCGGCCAGCGACGGCGGUGUGCGACUCUCACCGGCGGCCAUCUU
This 3292-nucleotide long non-coding RNA is filed under the name Sus scrofa (pig). RNAcentral describes it as "lncRNA (ENSSSCG00060069630.1)". Lineage: Eukaryota; Metazoa; Chordata; Mammalia; Artiodactyla; Suidae. The record is from RNAcentral.